Molecule: long non-coding RNA, 337 nt
Filed under: Homo sapiens (human)
Lineage: Eukaryota; Metazoa; Chordata; Mammalia; Primates; Hominidae
Description: HSALNT0148132
Source: RNAcentral
CAGAGUGUAUCAGAGCGAAUCUGGAGUGACAGCUUUCAAAUUCCAGUUUCCAUGUAAAUGAGAGGCAGAAAUUCUGACCCCGGUGCUGGGAGGAGGCUGUGACUGAUCCACAGUUGUUGGAAGGGCACUAAUUUUUCAUGUGGCGAUAUGCCUGUUUAGUCACUGUCCUGAAAAGACGUUAUUCUUCAGAAUUGCCGGGUCAUUAUACUCUUUUAGCUUUGUCAGAAGGGCUAAGUAGCUGCAGAGCCCAAGUUUGUGUCUCCCCUCCCAGCUUGGCAGUACAUGUGGGAUUUGUUAGCCAUGGCAGCACAGGUGAGUGUGUGCCGGUGACUGACUC